This is a long non-coding RNA of Homo sapiens (human), 1285 nucleotides long. Ensembl annotates it as ZBTB20 antisense RNA 1. Its record names the gene ZBTB20-AS1. The record is from Ensembl. NCBI's taxonomy places the organism in Eukaryota, Metazoa, Chordata, Mammalia, Primates, Hominidae.
ACGGAAUUGCUGAAGUUGUGAAGGUUGAUGCUGUGAAUGCGCUCGGUCAUCCCCUUGCAACUGAUGUCACCUGCAGCAUGUCAACGCAGACACAAAACAGGGCAUGGGUCAGAUCUAGCUGGUUGCAUUCCUAACACCUAGGUUUCAGAGUAAAAAUACAGAGUCAGCUUGUGAUGGCAUUCCCUCAAAACAUGGAAGGAAUUGCAGUAAUGAAAGUCAUCAUGUAUUCUAAGAGACUGUUCUGCGAGAGCACAACACAGACGGGGCUAAAGCAGGGAUUGUCUAAGCCCAGUGUGGAGGAACCAUCAAGGAUUUCAGCACGUUUUUUUAGCCAUUGUGAGAAGCAAAAGUGCUCAGGAGUUAAGAGAAGCAGACGUCCGAAAUUAUCUCCAUGCAUUACCAAAAACCGUGGGCACCACGGCACGGGGAAAACUUACCAGACAACUCUCAUGCCAUCAAGCCGACGGACUUUCAAAAAAAUAAAAGAUGCAUUUCUUUACUUGAGCUACGGUGAAAGGGCACCUAAGGUGAAUGGACAGAUUGUAGAUGGGUGCACACAGGAAAAUGUACAGCUCCUACAAUGUAUUCUGAGGGCCCAUGAGAAGUAAAAGCAGGCACUGGCAUUCUGCACAGAUGAAAUACUUCCUACGACAGGAAUACAUGCUCACUUGUGGACUUCUCUGUAAUCUGUAGGCAACAUCAGCUCCUGAUUUCUAGGUCUGGAUCUGGGUUCUCUGUAGCACAGGAAGGUCUCUACUUCUCCUACAUAAAUGCCUUGCAUGGCGGGAACUAAAUCAACUACACAGACCCAUACAUCCAGAGAGCAGAGGUGAGCUGGAUACAAGUGGCUUAGAGAUGUGGUGGAAGGAGGCCAGAGCUCCAAGGGAAGGGCAGCAAGGAGACAACAGCAUGGGUUGCAGCUCAGACAACAGGUAAAUAAAACCAAGCAAAGCUGCUGGUCACAGAUUUGACCAGGGUGGCAAGAAAUGACAAGCUACCAUGAGAUUCAACAGUGGCACGGAAGGAUGAUGAGAAGCAAACAGAUUAGGAGAAGCUGCCACCACCGUACAUAGAGGCACAGAUGACCAAGCAGAACAGCACCAGUCCCUGCAAGGUGUGCUCAGAUACAGCUCAGCACAGCCAUCUGGCCAGGAGGGAAUGAUAAUGCACAUGGUGUGCACUGCAGCCGGGAAGUUGAGAACCGCUGUGGGCACCUCAGGACUGAGUCUGGUUACCCUGCUGAUCCAAGAAAUGAAGCCAUCUAAAAUUUUGCCUGCUUUCACAA